AUCAGGCAGCCAGUGGGUCCAGGGCGAGGCUUUGCCAUUGCACAUCGGCUUAGCUGACCCUUGCGAUUACCCCAAAUGUGGGUAACUCGGUCGUAUAAUUUCUGGUAGUGGGGACUGCGUUCGCGCUAUCCCCGU
Non-coding RNA from Ciona savignyi (Pacific transparent sea squirt), 135 nucleotides. NCBI's taxonomy places the organism in Eukaryota, Metazoa, Chordata, Ascidiacea, Phlebobranchia, Cionidae. The record is from Rfam.